UCUAUAGUUAUUGGUUAUGAUCCAAAAUGUGAAAAAAAUUAUCAGCUUUUUUGCAUGGUCCAGAAUUUUAAUUUGUGUUAAUUAACAUUAAUUUCUUUGUGUAAACUUUUAAAUAAGGGUAAAAUACUAACACACACCUUGUCAUGUUAACGUCAAGUUCAACCAGUGGUGUAAGUUUGGAGUGUGGGAUUUCCUGUUUAUCCAAACAAUGAUAUGAAACAUUUUUGAAAAACUUUGUAUGGUUUUUGUUGUAUGGUUUACACACUGUAACUUUAAUACGUAGCUGUAAAACGUAAGGCCCAUCUGUGUCACACACUCAUUCAUUGUACUUCAUAGGAGUCUUCUAGGAUUAUUUAUAGUCGAGCGAAUAAGACAGACCUGUGAAAUCACUCCCAGCCUCUCUGAUUGCUUUACAAUGCCUGAAACAUUAUAAAGCUCUGUGAGUGACAAUUGCAGUCGUUUAUAAUGCCCAUAUGUUUCUCUCUUCUUCUCAAUUAUAAAUGAAAUGGUUUUUGACCUACAGUGCAAUGCUUUUACCAUCAGACAGGUUAACUGCAGUGAUGUCUGGCACCCGAGUUUGGAGUUAUUUCAAUAAAGUGCUUGAUUCAACAAAAGGGCAAAUGACUGAAUCAAAGAUGGCUGUAAAUAUUUGUGACACACCACCAGACAACAUGGCACCUGGUGAUGCCUGAUAAGCCAUUGCAAGUUGAUCUUAACUGUUAUUAACGCAUUGUUUUGUUUGUCAUUGCUGUGGCUGCUAUGGCUGGUGUAUUUUUUGGCCUAGAGGAUAAAAGUAAUGUAACUAUGACCAAAUCUCAUUUCAAGCAGCACUUAAUCAGCUCCAUUAGUCACUCGUUACCUUUUAAAUGUAAGAUUAGCAGCCCUUAUCCAGGCUUAUUAACUUUUGUGUUUAUGUUUGCACUUUGUUUCUCUUCACGUGGCCUCAUCUGCCCAUGCUGCUCAAGACGUCCUGGGACAACGGUACUCUAAAGAACGUGUGGCUGUCUGUCAUCAGCGGGCGUCGCUUGGCUCUAUCUGGGUCUUUCAGUCCUGUCUCGUCUCUCAGCAUGCUGUUAGUCUUCCUUUUAACAACCCUCCACACAUGCUGAGAGCUGCAAAUGAAGCCACAACAACAUCUCCAGUCGCCGUCACCUGUGAAUUCUGGGGCUGAUGAAAGAAAGUAAAGUUACCCUUGCAAGCUGGAAGAGAGUCUGCCAACUGCAAUGAAGCAUCAAGAAAGACAUGAGCAGGCCAGCCACCCUGAGACUGAUAAUUCAUGAGAAGACAUUUCUGUCAAAGUGGAUGGUGAGCAAAGAUGGUGGACACGUUUUGGAGCAGCACCUUGGUUUUGCAGUUAGCUGUGUAUUCUUUGGCUGCUUGUCUUUUUUCCCCCAUUAUGUUUCUGUUGCCUAAAGAUUCUUUGUGAGGAUGAAUCCAGAGGACACAACAUAAUGCACUGCAAAACGUCCUAAGACAGGAGAAAUGGUGAAGUUGCACUGUUCCAGCAUUGACAUGGAUCUUUGACAUAUAAAAUCUAAUGAAAUCUAUAUUAAAAUGAAUGAAAUCAAAUACAGUUUGCUACUGUAAAUCUUAAUUACAGUAACUUACUGGCAACAGUGUUGCCAGUAAGUUUCUGUAAAAACCCUUUGAAAUGUCUAACAGUGUACUGUAUUACAUUAAUAAGAAUAACAAUCGGGAAAUGGAAAUUGCAGAAAUAAGCAAAAUGUUGUAAAACAUUCAGACAUAUUGCAAUAAUGAAAAAUUGGAAUUUGAAACAUUUGAAAUUGUGAAAUGUUUAACUGUAAUGAAAAGAAACUAAAAAACAUUUGUAUCUAUUGGUUUUAAAUGAAAUGUGACUAGAUCAUGAUACUGUUAGACUUGCACUGAGAUAAAGAAACAUCCACUCAUGGACGACCUGUUUGAUUGUAAAGUGUGCAUCAAUUAAAGGAAUCUGACUUUGCAUGCAGGAGCAAGAGCCUCAGCCUGCCCACAGGAUAUGAGCAAAUGAACCACAAGCGUCAUCUUUUAGCUCACAAAUUACAGCAGCCAGAUUCAGGACACAGCACUGAUGUUCAGAUGAAUUGUGUUUAAUGUGUAGGGGGAAAAAAUCACCAGCCCAUUGAGCAAUAGAACUGGGAGAAAGUUUACAAUGUAAGCAUAGUGCUGCAUGUGUGAGGAAUGCAUCUGUGUGCAUGUCAGACAGAUAGAGACAUAGUGUUAAUUUACGAGUGUGUGUGUAAAUUAGAGAGCACAUGCAUUGGUUUUCUGUGACCUCAUCAGCACUCCCCCUCUGUGCCCAUACAGGUCCAUUUCUGGCCAAACGUAUGUUAACAAGGUCGAGAAAUUGCACGAUUUGAUAGCAUAUUUGAUUAGGAGCCAGCAGUAUCUCCCUCCCACUCCCGCUCAUGUUUGCUGGACUUGGCAAGCGCAGUAAGCCACGAGAGUUAAACAUUAACCCCUGCGGGAUCCAUGACCUAAUCAGAGGACAAACUCAGCACCAAAGCAGCCACAUAGCGCGUCCUGCUCGCAGCCACACUGUCUGACUAAGACCCCGUAUCCUCAACAAUGCUUCUUUAUGGACAAUCAUAAAUAAAGCCGGUUGAUUUAGGCCCGUGUGUGUUUUUUUUCACAGCCUAAAUCAACUGCUCCGAGGCAAAUGCAUGGAGGGACUUUUGGCAGACUGAAGGCCUUAUGCUUCAGCGGUUUUUAUUCCAGUUCAAACCUGAAUGAAAAGGUUAUGAGUGUGAGGGAAGCAAGACUGGGUGAGAUGAGAAUAGCACAGUUUGAUCAAGGUUUAUGUGCAUUUUUCAAAUGUGUUGUCACAUUACCCGAGGCGACAUUGACAAGUUAUGCAAAAACAGAAGAUGGGAAUCUUU
Long non-coding RNA from Onychostoma macrolepis, 2876 nucleotides. RefSeq lists it as uncharacterized. The record is from RefSeq and is a predicted model, not a curated record. NCBI's taxonomy places the organism in Eukaryota, Metazoa, Chordata, Actinopteri, Cypriniformes, Cyprinidae. The transcript has 4 exons.